RNAcentral lists this ribosomal RNA (547 nucleotides) under uncultured archaeon. Its description in RNAcentral is "bacterial SSU rRNA". It matches the Rfam family "Archaeal small subunit ribosomal RNA", at positions 325 to 876 of the family's 1478-position model. The record is from RNAcentral.
ACGGGGUGCAGCAGGCGCGAAAACUUCACAAUGCGAGCAAUCGUGAUAAGGAAACCCUGAGUGCCUGUCAAUGCAGGCUGUUCUGGCGUCUAACACACGCCAGGAGAAAGGGCGGGGCAAGACCGGUGCCAGCCGCCGCGGUAAUGCCGGCUGCUCGAGUGAUAGCCACUUUUACUGGGCUUAAAGCGUUCGUAGCUUGGUCGUUAAGUCUCUGGGGAAAUCUUUUGGCUCAACCAAAAGGCGUCUCAGGGAAACUGACGAUCUUGGAACCGGGAGAGGUAAGACGUACUUCGGGGGUAGGAGUGAAAUCUUGUAAUCCCCGAGGGACGACCGAUGGCGAAGGCAUCUUACCAGAACGGCUUCGACAGUGAGGGACGAAAGCUGGGGGAGCAAACCGGAUUAGAUACCCGGGUAGUCCCAGCCGUAAACGAUGUGCGUUAGGUGUGUCAGUGACCACGAGUCGCUGAGGUGCCGAAGGGAAACCGUGAAACGCACCGCCUGGGAAGUACGGUCGCAAGGCUGAAACUUAAAGGAAUUGGCGGGGGAG